UGAGGAAUCUUGCGCAAUGGGGGCAACCCUGACGCAGCAACGCCGCGUGAGUGAGGAAGGCCUUCGGGUCGUAAAGCUCUGUCGGGUGGAAAGAAACGUAUAGAUGUUAACAGCAUUUAUACUUGACGGUACCGCCAAAGGAAGCACCGGCUAACUCCGUGCCAGCAGCCGCGGUAAUACGGGGGGUGCAAGCGUUGUUCGGAUUCAUUGGGCGUAAAGGGUGCGCAGGCGGCGUGGUAAGUUGAGUGUGAAAUCCCGGGGCUUAACCUCGGAACUGCACUCAAUACUGCCAUGCUAGAGGAAUGUAGAGGAGAUCGGAAUUCCAGGUGUAGCGGUGAAAUGCGUAGAUAUCUGGAAGAACGCCAAAGGCGAAGGCAGAUCUCUGGGCCGUUACUGACGCUGAGACGCGAAAGCUAGGGGAGCAAACAGG
RNAcentral lists this ribosomal RNA (430 nucleotides) under uncultured bacterium. RNAcentral describes it as "bacterial SSU rRNA". It matches the Rfam family "Bacterial small subunit ribosomal RNA", at positions 355 to 776 of the family's 1533-position model. The record is from RNAcentral.